GACGAACGCUGGCGGCGUGCUUAACACAUGCAAGUCGAACGGAAAGGCCCUGCUUUUGUGGGGUGCUCGAGUGGCGAACGGGUGAGUAACACGUGAGUAAACUGCCCUUGACUUUGGGAUAACUUCAGGAAAAUGGGGAUAAUACCGGAUAGGAGCUCCUGCUGCACGGUGGGGGUUGGAAAGUUUCGGCGGUUGGGGAUGGACUCGCGGCUUAUCAGCUUGUUGGUGGGGUAGUGGCUUACCAGGGCUUUGACGGGUAGCCGGCCUGAGAGGGUGACCGGCCACAAUGGUACUGAGAGACGGCCCAGACGCCUACGGGAGGCAACAGUGGGGAAUAUUGCAGAAUGGGCGGGAGCCUGAUGCAGCGACGCCGCGUGCGUGAUGACGGCCUUCGAGUUGUAAACCGCUUUCGCCGGUGACGAAGCGUGAGUGACGGUAAUGGGUAAAGAAGCACCGGCUAACUACGUG
Molecule: ribosomal RNA, 468 nt
Filed under: uncultured bacterium
Lineage: Bacteria
Description: partial 16S ribosomal RNA
Rfam family: Bacterial small subunit ribosomal RNA
Source: RNAcentral